Molecule: ribosomal RNA, 492 nt
Filed under: uncultured bacterium
Lineage: Bacteria
Description: partial 16S ribosomal RNA
Rfam family: Bacterial small subunit ribosomal RNA
Source: RNAcentral
AGCGAACGCUGGCGGUAGGCCUAACACAUGCAAGUCGAACGGCAGCACAGUAAGAGCUUGCUCUUACGGGUGGCGAGUGGCGGACGUGUGAGGAAUACAUCGGAAUCUACUUUUUCGUGGGGGUUAACGUAGGGAAACUUACGCUAAUACCGCAUACGACCUACGGGUGAAAGCAGGGGAUCUUCGGACCUUGCGCGAUUGAAUGAGCCGAUGUCGGAUUAGCUAGUUGGCGGGGUAAAGGCCCACCAAGGCGACGAUCCGUAGCUGGUCUGAGAGGAUGGUCAGCCACACUGGAACUGAAACACGGACCAGACGCCUACGGGAGGCAGCAGUGGGGAAUAUUAGACAGUAGGCGCAAGCCUGAUCCAGCCAUACCGCGUGGGUGAAGAAAGCCUUCGAGUUGUAAAGCCCUUUUGUUGGGAAAGAAAAGCAGCAGGUUAAUACGCCGCUGUUCUGACGGUACCCAAAGAAUAAGCACCGGCUAACUUCGUG